CCUACGGGAGGCAGCAGUGAGGAAUAUUGGUCAAUGGGCGAGAGCCUGAACCAGCCAAGUAGCGUGAAGGAUGAAGGUCCUAUGGAUUGUAAACUUCUUUUAUAGUAGAAUAAAGUGACCUACGUGUGGAAUUUUGUAUGUAUACUAUGAAUAAGGAUCGGCUAACUCCGUGCCAGCAGCCGCGGUAAUGAGU
Molecule: ribosomal RNA, 193 nt
Filed under: uncultured Bacteroidales bacterium
Lineage: Bacteria; Pseudomonadati; Bacteroidota; Bacteroidia; Bacteroidales
Description: partial 16S ribosomal RNA
Rfam family: Bacterial small subunit ribosomal RNA
Source: RNAcentral